AACGAACGCUGGCGGCAGGCUUAACACAUGCAAGUCGAACGCCCCGCCAGGGGAGUGGCAGACGGGUGAGUAACGCGUGGGAAUCUACCCAUCCCUACGGAAUAACGCAUGGAAACGUGUGCUAAUACCGUAUACGCCCUACGGGGGAAAGAUUUAUCGGGGAUGGAUGAGCCCGCGUUGGAUUAGCUAGUUGGUGGGGUAAAGGCCUACCAAGGCGACGAUCCAUAGCUGGUCUGAGAGGAUGAUCAGCCACAUUGGGACUGAGACACGGCCCAAACUCCUACGGGAGGCAGCAGUGGGGAAUAUUGGACAAUGGGCGCAAGCCUGAUCCAGCCAUGCCACGUGAGUGAUGAAGGCCUUAGGGUUGUAAAGCUCUUUCACCGGAGAAGAUAAUGACGGUAUCCGGAGAAGAAGCCCCGGCUAACUUCGUG
RNAcentral lists this ribosomal RNA (431 nucleotides) under uncultured bacterium. RNAcentral's name for it is "partial 16S ribosomal RNA". It matches the Rfam family "Bacterial small subunit ribosomal RNA", at positions 29 to 507 of the family's 1533-position model. The record is from RNAcentral.